UGCUUAGUGGCAGACGGGUGAGUAACGCGUGAGUAACCUGCCCUUAAGAGGGGGAUAACACAUCGAAAGGUGUGCUAAUACCGCAUAAUAUGUAUUUGCCGCAUGACAGAUACAUCAAAGAUUUAUUGCUUAAGGAUGGACUCGCGUCUGAUUAGAUAGUUGGCGGGGUAACGGCCCACCAAGUCGACGAUCAGUAGCCGGACUGAGAGGUUGAACGGCCACAUUGGGACUGAGACACGGCCCAGACUCC
RNAcentral lists this ribosomal RNA (250 nucleotides) under uncultured Oscillospiraceae bacterium. RNAcentral describes it as "partial 16S ribosomal RNA". It matches the Rfam family "Bacterial small subunit ribosomal RNA", at positions 89 to 339 of the family's 1533-position model. The record is from RNAcentral. Lineage: Bacteria; Bacillati; Bacillota; Clostridia; Eubacteriales; Oscillospiraceae.